GAUGAACGCUGGCUACAGGCUUAACACAUGCAAGUCGAGGGGAAACGGCAUUGAGUGCUUGCACUGAAUGGACGUCGACCGGCGCACGGGUGAGUAACGCGUAUCCAACCUUCCCGUUACUGCGGGAUAACCUGCCGAAAGGCAGACUAAUACCGCAUGUUCUUCGAUGACGGCAUCAGAUUCGAAGCAAAGAUCCGUCGGUAACGGAGGGGGAUGCGUCUGAUUAGCUAGUUGGCGGGGCGACGGCCCACCAAGGCGACGAUCAGUAGGGGUUCUGAGAGGAAGGUCCCCCACAUUGGAACUGAGACACGGUCCAAACUCCUACGGGAGGCAGCAGUGAGGAAUAUUGGUCAAUGGGCGGAAGCCUGAACCAGCCAAGUAGCGUGCAGGAGGACGGCCCUACGGGUUGUAAACUGCUUUUAUGCGGGGAUAAAGUGAGGGACGCGUCCCUUUUUGCAGGUACCGCAUGAAUAAGGACCGGCUAAUUCCGUG
This 492-nucleotide ribosomal RNA is filed under the name uncultured bacterium. RNAcentral's name for it is "partial 16S ribosomal RNA". It matches the Rfam family "Bacterial small subunit ribosomal RNA", at positions 28 to 507 of the family's 1533-position model. The record is from RNAcentral.